UUGAACGCUGGCGGAAUGCUUUACACAUGCAAGUCGAACGGCAGCACGGGAGCUUGCUCCUGGUGGCGAGUGGCGAACGGGUGAGUAAUGCGUCGGAACGUACCGAGUAAUGGGGGAUAACGCAGCGAAAGCUGUGCUAAUACCGCAUACGCCCUGAGGGGGAAAGUGGGGGAUCGCAAGACCUCACGUUAUUCGAGCGGCCGACGUCUGAUUAGCUAGUUGGUGGGGUAAAGGCUCACCAAGGCGACGAUCAGUAGCGGGUCUGAGAGGAUGAUCCGUCACACUGGAACUGAGACACGGUCCAGACUCCUACGGGAGGCAGCAGUGGGGAAUUUUGGACAAUGGGGGCAACCCUGAUCCAGCCAUUCCGCGUGAGUGAAGAAGGCCUUCGGGUUGUAAAGCUCUUUCAGCCGGAACGAAACGGUACGCUCUAACAUAGCGUGCUAAUGACGGUACCGGCAGAAGAAGCACCGGCUAACUAC
This 482-nucleotide ribosomal RNA is filed under the name uncultured bacterium. Its description in RNAcentral is "bacterial SSU rRNA". It matches the Rfam family "Bacterial small subunit ribosomal RNA", at positions 30 to 504 of the family's 1533-position model. The record is from RNAcentral.